GCCUGUGUGAUGUAGUGGUUUGAGUGUUGGACUACAACUCUGGAGACCAGGUUUCAAAUCCCCACUUAAGCA
This 72-nucleotide transfer RNA is filed under the name Phrynosoma platyrhinos (Desert horned lizard). Its description in RNAcentral is "tRNA-OTHER". Lineage: Eukaryota; Metazoa; Chordata; Lepidosauria; Squamata; Phrynosomatidae. The record is from RNAcentral.